AAACCCUCAACCAAAAUCCGGUAAACUUAGCCAUCCACGAUAACCCGACCCGUCUUCAAUGAUCCCAACACAACCAGCGAAAACCCAAACCCAGCGACCAAUUUUCAGCCGAGAAAACCUAAAUACAUCCUUUCCCCUUCAAUUCAUACGAAUGGCGUGACCUCCACUUGAGUUCAUACGUCAAAGAACCUCGAACCUUCUAGAACAGUGCCAAGGUGGCAUCUUAACGUUCAUAUCCGCGAAUCUAAGGAUGGGGGUAUGAAUCUGGUACGUAUUUGGCCAAUUUCUAUUGGUUUGAAGGGGGAUUUCUUUUCGAUUGGCUAAUCCAUUUUUGGAUUUCAUGAGAAACAACAAAAAGGGGUACAAAUUAUUGACAAAAAUAGGCUGGGGGGAAUUUUCGAAUUGGAAAUUCAAAAUUCCUUCUUCCGAAUCCCGAAACACCCCAUCCUUUCUUCUAUAUAAGAGCCCAUUUGGGUCACUGUUAAGGAGUUCAAAAAUUCUAGGGUUCUUUAGAGGCUGGAAAUUCUAAGGUUUGGAAAUUGAUUGAGAAAACUAGGUUGAGAAAAUUUCUUUUGGUUCAAAAAGAGGGGGUCGAGCAAUCUUCUUGGAGAAAAGAAACAAAAAUUAGAGAGAGAGCAGAGAAAGAAAUUUUUUGAGAAAAUUCAGUCUCGAGUAGAAAUUCUAUUCUUGUUCAUCGGCUAAAUUAGAGUUUCGAUUGACUGUGAAGAAGUUUCCUGGUGGUCGUGAUCUCUGUACCAGUUCGUUGUCCCAUUUUGCUGCCCAAAAGUCGGUUAGUUUUCGAUUCCCUUUUACUAUACUAUCGUGAUAGUGUUUAGUCAUGAUAAGAUUCUGAUUCUUGCAUUUGUUUGCUGGGAUGGCUAUGAAAGUCGUGUGAUUAGCUUGUUACAGGUUGUUGUUCUGUUGAACCGAUAAUUAUGUUGAGGUUUAAUUCGUUUGCUUUCGAAUGAUUUCACUGUUUUUGUGUUAAUAGUGUCAUAAUCGCUUAAUCCUGUGAGAAUUGUUUGCUACCACAGAUGGCUUUAGUAUAUUAGAUUCUGAUGGUCACAGUUUUUGUUUUGUUAGUUUCUGGGUUUUCAUUUCUGAUUUGUUUUCUAUAUUUACUCAAUGUUGAUAAGGGUUUGUUGUUAGUAGAAUUUGAUUGCCAUUGAAUUUAGCUAUGGGUUCUUUGCAGUAUUUUAGGAAGAUUGCUAUUGAUUUUUCUCAUUCCAGUAUUGAAUCUGCUUACUAGACAGUAAAAGAUUGUGACUUUGAUGUUUCGUCUAAAACAUAUUUUCUUUUGCCUUGAAACUGAUGGUUAUUUUCUUCCUUUUGCUCCCCCCUUUAAUUUCCUUUCCUUGGUUCUUGCUGUUUGGUUCGUCUUUUCUUGUACUUAAUUUUAGUGUUUGUAACUGUAAAGAAAGCUGCUUUAGAUGAUUUCUUGAGACAAUGUGAUAGAAAUGAAAGUAUUUUGGUGCAUUUGACUUGAAAAUAUGAUUAUCAUAACCUAAAAUUAUGCAAGUUAAAGUGUACUAGUCAGUAUACAUACAAACAACUUGAAUUCUGGUGAUGACCUAAUGAACAAACUAUUGCAUUUGGUAAUUCUCCUUGGUUUAUGGUAUUUUCUUGGGCCUCUAUAAUGAUAUCUUGCCAUCUUGAGAGUUAUGCUGUCUACAGAAUGUGAAUACUUUUUUUCCACUGCCCUGCUUGAUUUUCUAGCUAAAUACGUUUGGCUUAAAAAAAUAAUAAUAAAAAUUAAUUAAAUUUUUUUUUUUGUGUUAGUCGAUUAUUUCCUAAUUUUUUAUGUCAGUGCGGUUCUUUCCUUCAUAUCAAUACUUUAGGAAUUGCUUAUAAGUUAAAUAUCCAUAUUUGAACAUGUAUUAAUUGUUAUUUUUUUCCUUUGCAUGUGGAUACAUUUGGGUCCUAAAUGGACUCUCCCCAUUCUUUGCAUUAUUGAUAUGGGCCACUGAGGCCUAUCCUUCUUGAGUCGAUUUCGGAAACCAUAAGAAGACAAUCAUAUAUCAUAUGGAUGGAUACAAGGAGUCGUAAGAAGGAAAACGGGUUAAAGUCUCAUUCUUGAAGCGAUGACGAGACCCGAGCCUCAUUUCUAUUUAUUUAUGUCUUGUCGUUAUUUAUUUAUUUAUUUAAUUAUUUAUUUUGGGGCCUCGAAGUCAAAGUUGUAAAUUUAAUACAGCUGGAGCGAGACUCGAGCCAACGACUCGAAAAUUAGACUAGGACAGGUGAAAUGGGCCGAAAGUCCGAUUAAACUAGGACAGGUCUUAUUGAUUUGGGCCUAAUGGCCUAAAUCCCUUACUUUCUCCCCUUCCUCUUUUUUUUUUUUACGCUUGUUUGUCUUAUGUAUUUUGUGAACCUAGUUAAAUCUUUUGUUAAGUCGCUAAAAAUUGGUUUUUGCAUAAACACCAAAAUAUUUCUAAAAUUUCUUUCUUUUCAAAAAAUAAUUUUUAUUUUAAAGUUAAUCAAAGAUGUUUUCAAACAAUCCGGAUAAUCGCAAGUUAGCAGACGUUUUAGGUGCCUAACACCUUCCUGAACGUUAAUAGGAACCGCUUACUCAGAAUCUCUUAACUAAAAUGAUUUUCCUAUAUUAAAUCAUUUUGAAAUAACUCUCUAAAGGUUUCUUAAUUUUUUUUCAAAAUUAAGUGGCGACUCUUCUCUUAAAGUCAAAAAUUUUCGCAAAAUAAUAAAUGCAUACAUUUUAUCCAAUAUGAGUUGAAUUACAACAAUAAUAUAUUCACUAUUUAGUAUAAUAUACAAAUGAGAUUGUGGAUAGAUACAUUCACUAUAAUGUAAAUACAUUUAUAACACUCUCCUUGAAUAUCUAAAUAGAUAAUGUGCCUUGUUAAAACUUUAUUAGAAAAAAUCAGUGGAAGAAAAUUUAGUAAUGGAAAAAGAUUACACAUCUCUAACAAUAUGCAUUUUGGCUGCCUCAUUAAAAACCUUACAAGAAAAACCCGGUGAAACAAAAUCUUGAAAGGGAAAAAGAGUACAAUGCGUAUUAACUCCUUAAACCUUUGUACCCUCGCGUUUAGAUUCCGUCAAAUGAUGUGAUUGAUAUAUUUUUUGAAUCAAAUUUAUUUUAUAUCAUGAUUAUUUUUUUUUUCGUUUUCUCAUAUUAUUUUCACAUAAAUUUUAAUUAAAAAUUAGCAUUUCCAACAGUUUUUUAAUUUAAAAUUUGUGGUCAAACAGACACCUUUACAAAUAGGUAUAAUAGCACAAAUUCAAGGUUGUCUUAUCAUGUUAGUUCGGACAGGUGAUGAAGAGGGGCUCUGAUGCUCCAGUGCGGAGAUGUGAGACACUGGCUAUGGAUGGUUUUAGGCGGGAUAGAGAUAGACUGAAGAAAUAUUGGAGGGAGGUGAUUAAGCAUGAUAUGGAGCAGUUAUAGCUUACUAAGGACAUAUCCUUGAUAGGAAGGUGUGGAGGACGCGGAUUAGGAUAGAGAGUUAAGGGGUAGGAGUGCAUCAGUAAUAGUAGAGAAUGUUCUUUUGUGUAUGGAGUUUCUUGUUUGUGGUGUUGUGAUUGUAGUUUUAUUUUGUUGCUAGCGGUGUUAGUUUAUUUUUCAUACCGUACUAGUUUAUAUGCAGUUAUCUUUUAUAUCUGUUAUACUGUUAUCGGUCUUACACCGGGGGUCUAUCGGAAACAGCCUCUCUACUUCACUCGAGGUAGUGGUAUAGUUUGCGUACACUCUACCCUCCCUAGACCCCACUAUGUGGGAAUACACUGGGUAUGUUGUUGUUGUUAAGCCUUAAAUAUAUGCAUAUAAUAAACAUAUUAUUAAUAAUUUA
RNAcentral lists this long non-coding RNA (3797 nucleotides) under Capsicum annuum. RNAcentral's name for it is "long non-coding RNA (CANN_LNC016527)". The record is from RNAcentral. Lineage: Eukaryota; Viridiplantae; Streptophyta; Magnoliopsida; Solanales; Solanaceae.